CCCAAACCAAUAAAGUUUUCUUUAUUGGGGUUGCGGACAUAUCAUAACGAAGAGGUAUCGUAAUUGAAGAGGUUUGGAAAGACCCACCACAGAAGGUAAUAGUCCUGUAUGUUAAACGAGAAGACUUCAGAUAUGAUCCAGAGUACCACGGGACACGUGAAACCCUGUGGGAAGCAGGAGGGACCACCCUCCAAGGCUAAAUACUACCUAGUGACCGAUAGCGUAUAGUACCGUGAGGGAAAGGUGAAAAGAACCCCGGGAGGGGAGUGAAAUAGAACCUGAAACCCUGCACUUACAAGCUGUGGAAGCACAUUUCUUGUGUGACCGCGUACUUUUUGUAGAACGGGCCAACGAGUUACGUUAAGUAGCAAGGUUAAGCACUUAAGGUGCGGAGCCGUAGCGAAAGCGAGUUUUAACUGAGCGUUCAGUUACUUGACGUAGACCCGAAACCGGGCGACCUACCCAUGAGCAGGACGAAGCGAAAGUAAAAUUUCGUGGAGGUCCGAACCCACGAGCGUUGAAAAGCUCGGGGAUGACUUGUGGGUAGCGGUGAAAUUCCAAUCGAGCCCGGAGAUAGCUGGUUCUCCCCGAAAUAGCUUUAGGGCUAGCCUCAAGGUGAGAGAUACGGAGGUAGAGCACUGAAUGUCCUAGGGGGUAUUGCACCU
RNAcentral lists this ribosomal RNA (665 nucleotides) under Clostridioides difficile. RNAcentral's name for it is "bacterial LSU rRNA". It matches the Rfam family "Bacterial large subunit ribosomal RNA", at positions 268 to 937 of the family's 2925-position model. Lineage: Bacteria; Bacillati; Bacillota; Clostridia; Peptostreptococcales; Peptostreptococcaceae. The record is from RNAcentral.